Molecule: ribosomal RNA, 306 nt
Filed under: uncultured bacterium
Lineage: Bacteria
Description: partial 16S ribosomal RNA
Rfam family: Bacterial small subunit ribosomal RNA
Source: RNAcentral
GACAGCAGCAGCCGCGGGAAUACGUAGGUCCCGAGCGUUGUCCGGAUUUAUUGGGCGUAAAGCGAGCGCAGGCGGUUUGAUAAGUCUGAAGUUAAAGGCUGUGGCUCAACCAUAGUUCGCUUUGGAAACUGUCAAACUUGAGUGCAGAAGGGGAGAGUGGAAUUCCAUGUGUAGCGGUGAAAUGCGUAGAUAUAUGGAGGAACACCGGUGGCGAAAGCGGCUCUCUGGUCUGUAACUGACGCUGAGGCUCGAAAGCGUGGGGAGCGAACAGGAUUAGAUACCCGCGUAGUCCCUGUCUCUUAUACA